AAUUUGAAAUCUGGCCCUUUUGGGGUCCGAGUUGUAAUUUGUAGAGAGUGCUUCGGGUGAGACUGCGGUCUAAGUCCAUUGGAACAUGGCGUCCCAGAGGGUGAGAAUCCCGUAUGUGACCGCGGCUCGAGCCCAUGUGAAGCCUCUUCGACGAGUCGAGUUGUUUGGGAAUGCAGCUCUAAAUGGGUGGUAAAUUUCAUCUAAAGCUAAAUACUGGCUGGAGACCGAUAGCGCACAAGUAGAGUGAUCGAAAGAUGAAAAGCACUUUGGAAAGAGAGUUAAACAGUACGUGAAAUUGUUGAAAAGGAAGCGCUUGCAACCAGACCUGCCCGUAGGCGAUCACCCGCUGUUCUCAGCGGUGCACUCGUUCUGCGAUCAGGCCAGCAUCGGUUCGGGCGGCCGGAUAAAGGCCUUGGGAAUGUAGCUCCCUUUCGGGGGAGUCUUAUAGCCCUCGGUGCAAUGCGGCCAGCCGGGACCGAGGACCGCGCUUCGGCUAGGAUGCUGGCGUAAUGGUUGUAAGCGACCC
Molecule: ribosomal RNA, 526 nt
Filed under: Melanohalea aff. multispora SL-2012
Lineage: Eukaryota; Fungi; Ascomycota; Lecanoromycetes; Lecanorales; Parmeliaceae
Description: eukaryotic LSU rRNA
Rfam family: Eukaryotic large subunit ribosomal RNA
Source: RNAcentral